GGUGAGUUAUCUUGACUGGGUCAAGGCUCCGUUGCUAGCGGAAGCGCGUCUUAGGGCGUGGCGUUCGAUUCGUCAACUCACCGC
Molecule: transfer RNA, 84 nt
Filed under: Gordonia phage GMA2
Lineage: Duplodnaviria; Heunggongvirae; Uroviricota; Caudoviricetes
Description: tRNA-Ser
Source: RNAcentral